This 356-nucleotide ribosomal RNA is filed under the name uncultured Streptococcus sp. RNAcentral describes it as "bacterial SSU rRNA". It matches the Rfam family "Bacterial small subunit ribosomal RNA", at positions 1026 to 1382 of the family's 1533-position model. Lineage: Bacteria; Bacillati; Bacillota; Bacilli; Lactobacillales; Streptococcaceae. The record is from RNAcentral.
CAUCGGUGACAGGUGGUGGCAUGGUUGUCGUCAGCUCGUGUCGUGAGAUGUUGGGUUAAGUCCCGCAACGAGCGCAACCCCUAUUGUUAGUUGCCAUCAUUCAGUUGGGCACUCUAGCGAGACUGCCGGUAAUAAACCGGAGGAAGGUGGGGAUGACGUCAAAUCAUCAUGCCCCUUAUGACCUGGGCUACACACGUGCUACAAUGGUUGGUACAACGAGUUGCGAGUUGGUGACGGCGAGCUAAUCUCUUAAAGCCAAUCUCAGUUCGGAUUGUAGGCUGCAACUCGCCUACAUGAAGUCGGAAUCGCUAGUAAUCGCGGAUCAGCACGCCGCGGUGAAUACGUUCCCGGGCCUU